UACCUGCAGCUCUAGUGGUGAUCGUUAUUAUUGGGCCUAAAACGUCCGUAGCCGGUUUAAUAAAUGCCUGGGUAAAUCGUAUAGCUUAACUAUACGAAUUCCGGGUAGACUGCUAAACUUGAGACCGGGAGAGGCUAGAGGUACUCCUGGGGUAGAGGUGAAAUUCUGUAAUCCUAGGGGGACCACCAGUGGCGAAGGCGUCUAGCCAGAACGGGUCUGACGGUGAGGGACGAAGCCCUGGGGCACAAACCGGAUUAGAUACCCGGGUAGUCCAGGGUGUAAGCGCUGCUUGCUUGAUGUUAGCUGGGCUCCGAGCCCGGCUAGUGUCGGAGAGAAGUUGUUAAGCCCACCGCCUGGGAAGUACGGUCGCAAGGCUGAAACUUAAAGGAAUUGGCGGGGGAGCACAGCAACGGGAGGAGCGUGCGGUUU
RNAcentral lists this ribosomal RNA (429 nucleotides) under uncultured archaeon. Its description in RNAcentral is "bacterial SSU rRNA". It matches the Rfam family "Archaeal small subunit ribosomal RNA", at positions 474 to 903 of the family's 1478-position model. The record is from RNAcentral.